Small nuclear RNA from Salvia hispanica, 102 nucleotides. The record is from RefSeq and is a predicted model, not a curated record. Lineage: Eukaryota; Viridiplantae; Streptophyta; Magnoliopsida; Lamiales; Lamiaceae.
GUUCCGACGGGACAUCCGAUAAAAUUGGAGCGAUACAGAGAAGAUUAGCAUGACCCAUGCGCAAGGAAGACACGGAUAAAUCGAGAAAUGGUACAAAUUUAA